AGGUCCGUAGCUCAACUGGCAGAGCAGCUGACUCUUAAUCAGCGGGUUGGGGGUUCGAGUCCCCCCGGACCUACGA
Molecule: transfer RNA, 76 nt
Filed under: Rhodothermus marinus
Lineage: Bacteria; Pseudomonadati; Rhodothermota; Rhodothermia; Rhodothermales; Rhodothermaceae
Description: tRNA-Lys
Rfam family: tRNA
About the family: Transfer RNA (tRNA) molecules are approximately 80 nucleotides in length. Their secondary structure includes four short double-helical elements and three loops (D, anti-codon, and T loops). Further hydrogen bonds mediate the characteristic L-shaped molecular structure. tRNAs have two regions of fundamental functional importance: the anti-codon, which is responsible for specific mRNA codon recognition, and the 3' end, to which the tRNAs corresponding amino acid is attached (by aminoacyl-tRNA synthetases). tRNAs cope with the degeneracy of the genetic code in two manners: having more than one tRNA (with a specific anti-codon) for a particular amino acid; and 'wobble' base-pairing, i.e. permitting non-standard base-pairing at the 3rd anti-codon position.
Source: RNAcentral